UUAAUAGCAUACUCAUUUGACGUUAGCUGCAGAAGAAGCACCGGCUAACUCCGUGCCAGCAGCCGCGGUAAUACGGAGGGUGCGAGCGUUAAUCGGAAUUACUGGGCGUAAAGCGCAUGCAGGUGGUUUGUUAAGUCAGAUGUGAAAGCCCGGGGCUCAACCUCGGAAUUGCAUUUGAAAACUGGCAAACUAGAGUACUGUAGAGGGGGGUAGAAGUUUCAGGUGUAGCGGUGAAAUGCGUAGAGAUCUGAAGGAAUACCGGUGGCGAAGGCGGCCCCCUGGACAGAUACUGACACUCAGAUGCGAAAGCGUGGGGAGCAAACAGGAUUAGAAACCCCUGAUAG
Molecule: ribosomal RNA, 344 nt
Filed under: uncultured bacterium
Lineage: Bacteria
Description: bacterial SSU rRNA
Rfam family: Bacterial small subunit ribosomal RNA
Source: RNAcentral